AAAUAAAAGAAAAGAAAAGAAAAAAAAUAAAAAUGGGAGGAAUAGUAAACUCAUCGUUCUCACUCCCUCAAUCUCAAAAUCGCUCGUCCCUAAACCUUUACUCUCUCCGUCCUCAUUCAUCACCGCUCAGGCUCUCUCUCACAAUUUCACUUCACAAAAUCGUUCUCCAACUCAUGUCUCUCACAUCAUAACCCUCUCUCAAACGUGCGUUUUUUCUUAAUCGCUUCCGAAUCAUAAAAGAAAUCAAUGGCUGAAGCAAAAAAACGCUCACCUCCGGCGGUAAAGACGGCAAUGAUGAAGCUUCCAACUCUUUCAACUCUCCAAAACAGGUUAGGGUUUCAAAUUCGUGUCUUUAUAGCUCAAAGAAGAAGGUGCCAAAACACUUUUUUGAGUUCAGUACUGGAUUGGUCCUCUUUGAAGCUGCAAUUCGGAAAGUAAAAAUGUUGAAGAUUCCAAAAGCAGUUUUUAUUACGGUUUUGGAGGUUAUGUCUGAUAUCGAUUCGGUUGGGCUGACAUCUCUCUAGUAAUGUUCUAGACACAGUUGAUUCCAAACAAUCGAACAAUGUUGCAUAAGAAUAUAGGGCUUCAAGCAGACGCUCCGUUAGAGUUGAACCAUUGUGAUUUGAAUCCUGUUCGGUAACAACCAUGACUUUUGGCGAUAAGCUCCACAGGGCGUUGAGAAAGCUUUCUGCAUUCAUUGAAGCAGUUGGAGAUGCUGGCGAAGAGGAUGAUGAUGCUGAACCGGGACUUGGACUAUAGCCAUUAACCGUAUCUUUUUCAAGUAAAUCCCCUAAUGAUGUGCUUUGGUUCAUCAGCAUAACUUUUUGAAGGUGAAGUCCAUUUGAGUUUCUUGACAGAACAUGAGUUUUUUUCUUUCUUACUUUCAAAGACUUGAUUUGCAUUGCAUUUUUUUUUUUUUUGCUUUGGGUACUGGCUGUUAUGGUUUGAUUUUCACAGGACUCCUUAAAGAAGUGAUUAAGGCAUAUCGUGACAGUGCAUUUAGAUCUGCUGCCCAAAGCAUUGGUGAACUUCCGAUACAUAUCCAAUUUUAUCAUCAUCCUUCUGGCCUGAAGUUUAUUUAACGUUGUAGGCAAUGGAGUGAAAAUCCAAAGAAUGAAGAACACAUCUAAUACUGCCGCGGGAAGAACCAAAAAAGUUUUGCUUUACCCGAAAGAUCACUUAUUGCACCAACAUGUUCUACCAAUUCAAGAACUUCUGAUGCAACAAAGAAGGUUCGUGGCAAUUAUUCGAAGCCAAUGCGCUUGAAGAUUUUAUGGCACCUCUAUGAGGAUUUGCGGCUUUUCUCUCUUUCCUUUUUUACGGAAUACACUGUGAUAUUUUCUUCGUGUGCAUCAUGCAGGUAUCAUUCAUCAACUGGAAUCUCUGAAGGAGUUUCUUUACUGUGAUUCCAACAUACUGCUGAGAAAGAGGCACAGGUCUAUAACUGUUAUCGAAAUAAAACCACCCCUUGUUCAGAUCGACACGCAAGAAUAGGGCCACGUCCUCCUAAUUAGGGAGAGUAGCCGACAAUCCCACCAAUCGAAUAUAAUCUUUGGUUGUUUCAAAUCUGCCUUACUGUUCUAACAACAAUACUUUCGAUUACAGGCCCUCUGUUAUCAUGAAGGAGAAGAAUCUCAUCAAUAAUGAGGAGCUUCACAAGAUGUGCAUAAGUUCGGUCCCUGGACUUCCGUGUGAUAAUAUCCCACUUCUCAGGAGUUGUCACAAUAAUUUGAGUCUCUUCUAUCUGCUGUCUUGUUAGUGACUGAUCUCCACUGCUUAAAGAUGUGCCAUUUGCAGAAACGGUGGCAGGCGUCGGGGAAAUACCUGCAUUAAGGCGAACUGUAUAACGGAAUCAUGGUCGGUAGUCAUUGAGACAAAGUCCAUUUGUAUCCAUUAUUGUUGUAACAUCCUGAAUACUUGUGUCUGCUUUAAUAUUUGAGAGUGUCUGAAAGAAUUAUGUAUGAUCAAUUUGUCAACAGCCAUGUUAGUAAGAAACUUUGCCAAUCAGCUGCUUAUUAUA
Lathyrus oleraceus (garden pea) is the source of this 2020-nucleotide long non-coding RNA. RefSeq lists it as uncharacterized. The transcript has 4 exons. The record is from RefSeq and is a predicted model, not a curated record. Lineage: Eukaryota; Viridiplantae; Streptophyta; Magnoliopsida; Fabales; Fabaceae.